This 301-nucleotide ribosomal RNA is filed under the name uncultured bacterium. Its description in RNAcentral is "partial 16S ribosomal RNA". It matches the Rfam family "Bacterial small subunit ribosomal RNA", at positions 509 to 807 of the family's 1533-position model. The record is from RNAcentral.
CAGUAGCCGCGGUAAUACGUAGGUGGCAAGCGUUGUCCGGAAUUAUUGGGCGUAAAGGGCUCGCAGGCGGUUUCUUAAGUCUGAUGUGAAAGCCCCCGGCUCAACCGGGGAGGAUCAUUGGAAACUGGGAAACUUGAGUGCAGAAGAGGAGAGUGGAAUUCCACGUGUAGCGGUGAAAUGCGUAGAGAUGUGGAGGAACACCAGUGGCGAAGGCGACUCUCUGGUCUGUAACUGACGCUGAGGAGCGAAAGCGUGGGGAGCGAACAGGAUUAGAUACCCCUGUAGUCCCUGUCUCUUAUAC